This 299-nucleotide RNase P RNA is filed under the name marine eukaryotic metagenome. RNAcentral describes it as "Bacterial RNase P class A". It matches the Rfam family "Bacterial RNase P class A". Rfam says of the family: Ribonuclease P (RNase P) is a ubiquitous endoribonuclease, found in archaea, bacteria and eukarya as well as chloroplasts and mitochondria. Its best characterised activity is the generation of mature 5'-ends of tRNAs by cleaving the 5'-leader elements of precursor-tRNAs. The record is from RNAcentral.
AUAUUAUAUCAAGAGGAAAGUCUGGGCUUCAGUGAAGUAUAGUUCCAUCUAACUGAUGGCUAGGGCAACCUAAGGGAUAGUGCAACAGAAAGUAAACUUCCUAUUUUAUAGGUAAAGGUGAAACGGUAGAGUAAGAGCCUACCAGUCUUUUGAGUAAUCUUAAGAGCUAUGUAAACCCAACUAGAAGCAAGAAACGAGUGGUAAAAACUUCACAUUUUUUUCGUUUCGCUUGAUUUUUAAAGUGAUUUAAAAACUAGAUAAAUUAUUAUCAAAUACAAAACUCAGCUUACAACUGUGCC